AUCUAUUAGGUUGGUGCAAAAGUAAUUGCUGUUUCUGCCAUUGCUUUUAAUGGCAAAAGCCGCAAUUACUUUUGCAUUAACCUAAUA
Molecule: microRNA precursor, 87 nt
Organism: Rhinopithecus bieti (black snub-nosed monkey)
Lineage: Eukaryota; Metazoa; Chordata; Mammalia; Primates; Cercopithecidae
Source: Ensembl